UACCAGCACCCCGAGUGGUCGGGACGUUUAUUGGGCCUAAAGCAUCCGUAGCCGGUUCUACAAGUCUUCCGUUAAAUCCAUCUGCUUAACAGAUGGGCUGCGGAAGAUACUAUAGAGCUAGGAGGCGGGAGAGGCAAGCGGUACUCGAUGGGUAGGGGUAAAAUCCGUUGAUCCAUUGAAGGCCACCAGUGGCGAAGGCGGCUUGCCAGAACGCGCUCGACGGUGAGGGAUGAAAGCUGGGGGAGCAAACCGG
RNAcentral lists this ribosomal RNA (253 nucleotides) under uncultured bacterium. RNAcentral describes it as "partial 16S ribosomal RNA". It matches the Rfam family "Archaeal small subunit ribosomal RNA", at positions 474 to 727 of the family's 1478-position model. The record is from RNAcentral.